This 2816-nucleotide long non-coding RNA is filed under the name Homo sapiens (human). Its description in RNAcentral is "non-protein coding lnc-PAM-1:6". Lineage: Eukaryota; Metazoa; Chordata; Mammalia; Primates; Hominidae. The record is from RNAcentral.
AGGUGGCCUGAAUCCAGGGGCCGGGCAAGGGGGUGGUGUGAAUAGAAAUAGCACAUUUCCCAGGCUUUCAGCCCCGGUACUCUGCCAUCCUUCCAGUUCCAUGCACUCAGCCAGGUCUCCAGGCUGGAGCAAGGGCUGGGGGUCAAUGGGUCCUUCCUUCUCUCGGGAAACGUUCUUCUGGCGCGAAGCUGGGCGGAGGGAGAGUCGGACAUUUUCCUCUGCUUCUCUCAGGGCAGCUGGCGUGGCCACCUCGCAAGGCUGCUUCUAGGGACACGAGACUCGGGAGGGUCAGAGACUUUCAGGCCGGGCCUUCACUCCCUUCCCCGGGGCACUUGGGCAAGAGUUCCAGCUCUUGGCUACCUCUGGCCCGCGCGUGAGUUCAGACACCCAGCACACGCGACCCCCGCAGGGAAACCCCGGGAAGCUGCGCGCAAUCGCUGGGGACUCGCCAGGGCUCCACUUCCCAAGCUCCGCGCCCCCUGCGCCCAAAGAGGCAGGGCGGAGCAGAGGCCGCCGGCGUGGAGGAGGCGAGCGCGGGGCUGGCCCGGGAGCCGCCCCCGGGGAGGGACUGAGACCUGCCCCAGGAGUCGAGGGCGAGCGGCGGACCCGGCUGGGCCCGGCGCACGCCGAGGAGAGGGAGCCCCCGCCACCGCCGCUGCCUCCGCGUGCUCAGCCUGUCCCCGCCCAGGGAGCCGGAGCCUCCAACUAACUCCGCCCGCCGCUCCGCCGCCCGCAGGCUCCGGCUUCCGUCCCGGACAGAGCCCGUGGUCGCGCAGGUUGGUGUUGUUGCCGCUGCUGCCGCCACUGCGAGGCGGUCAGGGCAAGGGUGAGGGUGGGGGCGCGGAAGGGGGCCUGGGCUCGGGAUCCUGCUGCCACCAAUUCCUGGUGCCCCAGGAGGUUGUUGCUUUUUCUCCCGGGCUGCCCGGGUCGGGGGUGGGGGGAUGGGGCGGGGAUCCAGCGAUGCGGCCAGGGAGGAUUUUGGGGACUGAGCUAUUCUCGCAUUUCCCAAACCUCUCUCACGACCCUUCAUCACCAUUAUUAAGUCCCUGGCCAGUUUGUGAGGGGUCGUCCUCCCCUCCGGUCCUUCUCACCUCCGCACUUCUCCUUGUGCCCUCUCCCUAGGGGGUACAAUUUGUUCAUUCGCCUUUUCUGCCCCCAACUUGGAGAACUCUCCGUGACGCCUAGAAAGCCUCCUCGGUUCUCCGCCCGCCCUUCAGUCUAGUUUGGGGAAGUAGAGGCCGCCGCGGAGUAGCAACCUGGGGUGUGGAGUGGGGGCGAGUGCCGGGAAGCAGUGGAAAUUCCUUCCCCUCUUUCUUUCCCGUCCUUGCCCAGCUUUGCUCUCUUCCUGCCGUUUUGCCAGCCUCCGAAUGUAAUACGCGGGCGAAGGGCGAUCUCCAAGGCAGAAUGGGAAGUAUCCACCACUUGGGAUACUAGUUAAGUCUAGGUUCAGUCACCUUCCCAGCUCUGUGGCCUUGGGACCCGCCCCAUCGGAACCUGUAUGUUGUCAUCUGCAAAAUAUGCGUCAGCUCUGCCUGCCGCUGAGGGUAGUUGUGGGGCUCCCUUGGGAUGACUUAGGGUAUUACGUGAUUUUGAGCACGGUCUCUUGUCUCGUGCAGCUGCCUGAUGGCAGGUCCUGUGUUCUGAUCGUCUGAGUUCAGGUCCUUUGGCUGAGAUGUGAUUAUCUCUCUGGGUGAUUUGGUCAGUAGCUUUGCGGGGCUAAAAGGCAUGUGUUCCUGGAGCUGGUCAUUGGGGUUCAGAGUUGAAAUCGUGUCGUCCCCACCAAUCCCUGUGUACAAAGCUAUGGACCUUACAUCCUGUGCCUUUGUGGUCAUAGAAAUUCAAGUAGAAGGAAGAUCUUAUUGGACUUUGUUUGCUUCAGAUGUUUUACAUUCUUUACAAUCGCUUUUCUCUUCUAGGUGCAAACUUAAAUUUACUGCUAAUUCUAAUAAUCCAGGAAGGAUACUUUCAUUUUAGUAAAAUCAGACAUUUAGCUCAAAUAACAUGUGACAUAUUGUUUGUAAAUUUUCAGUUUAUAAUCACAGGCACAAAAAAGCAUAGUUCAUGCCAUUCUAGUUACUUUAUAAAGCAAGUAAAUGGCCUAAAAAAUCAGCUUUACAGGAAGUCAGGGCUGCAGUGAACUGUGUUUAUACCACUGCACUCCAGCCUCGGUGACAGAGCAAGACCCUGUCUCAAAAAUAAAUAAUCAGCUUUAGAAUUGAUAUUAAAUGGUAAGCCCUGUCGUUCCUGCAUUCCUGACUUAAUAGGCAUUUUCAUUCCGCGAUGCACUCUGCUAUAUGCUUUAAAGAUAUAAAGAUAUAGAGUAUGUUCCUUGUCCUGAAGGGCCUUCCAAGGUAACUUAAAGACUAUGUAGUUUUAUUUCAUAUUUUUAUAUGAACAGUCUUCUAAUGACUAUACAUGGCAAGUAGAAUGAGGUCAAGAAUGCAUUAUCAAAGGCCCUUUAAGAUCAUCAUUUGGCCGGCUGCGGUGGCUCACGCCUGUAAUCCCAGCACUUUGGGAGGCCGAGGCGGGCAAAUCACAAGGUCAGAAGUUCCGUACCAGCCUGGCCGACAUGGUGAAAUCCCAUCUCUACUAAAAAUACAAAAAAUUACUUGGGCAUAGUGGCAGGCACCUGUAAUCCCAGCUACUUGGGAGACUGAGGCAGGAGAAUCGCUUGAACCUGGGAGGUGGAGGUUUCAGUGAGCUGAGAUCACUCCACACACUCCAGCCCUGGUGACAGAGUGAGACUCUCUCAAAAAAAGAUAAAACUAAAUAAAUAAAUAGAUAAAAAAUCAUUUGGUGAGUUUGCAUAAUUGGAA